RNAcentral lists this ribosomal RNA (368 nucleotides) under uncultured bacterium. RNAcentral describes it as "partial 16S ribosomal RNA". It matches the Rfam family "Bacterial small subunit ribosomal RNA", at positions 338 to 698 of the family's 1533-position model. The record is from RNAcentral.
CCUACGGGUGGCAGCAGUGGGGAAUAUUGCUCAAUGGGCGAAAGCCUGACGCAGCGACGCCGCGUGAGGGAUGAAGGUCCUCGGAUCGUUAACCUCCUUCAGCAGGGGAGAACGGUCACUGUCCUAAUCAUCAGUGAAUUUACUGUACCUGCAAAGGUAGCAUCGGCUAACUCCGGGCCACCAGCCGCGGUAAUGCGGGGGGUGCGUGCGUUAAUCGGUAUUACUGGGCGUAAAGGGCUGGUAGGCGGUAUGUCAAGUCCAGGGUGAAAUCCCCGCGGUCAACGUGGGAACUGCCUUUGAAACUGGCAAACUGGAGAGUGUGAGAGGAUAGUGGAAUGCAAGGUGUAGGAGUGAAAUCCGUAGAUAUC